Molecule: long non-coding RNA, 1571 nt
Organism: Phyllopteryx taeniolatus (common seadragon)
Lineage: Eukaryota; Metazoa; Chordata; Actinopteri; Syngnathiformes; Syngnathidae
Exons: 4
Source: RefSeq, a predicted model, not a curated record
UGUAAAACCGUCACGUAAAACAAAUAAACAUUAAAUGUCCUCUGCCGAAGUGCUAUCUUACAGUGAUAAGAAAAGGUGGACAUGCUAAUAAGAUUAGCACUCAUGUUACGGUAAAAUGUAAUCCUUCAAACAACACACACGGAGCAGAUCAAAAGUGGGGUCGUUUCUGGGUGCUCUGGACAGGAUGUGUUGGACUGUCCAUUCUUCACGGAGAGCGUGAGGUCACAGGAAGUGAGAUGGACGUGGCUAACAAGUCUAACAAGCGGAUUCAAACGUGGCCUUUCCUUGGGGGACGCCAGCAGCUCCGUCAUUAAGUGGACCGCAAAAAUGUCUCAUGACGAAAACACAAGAAGCGGGAUUACAACUCUACAAACUAACACAGGGUGCUCCAGACUUGGAGGACCCCCCCCCUCCUGAAGACAAGUCAGGUCCUCGAGUCAAUUGUCCGCCCGGCAACAGAGGUCUGCCGGUUUUGUUCACGGGCUUCUCAUCCACUCCAAGCGGACACGCCGCCACCGAGACCCUCAGAGGCUUUGACGUGACCCGCUUGUCACCUAUUGUUGCUUUAAUCCCUCCUUCUUCUCCCCAUCUGGAAUGCCGGCCGGCCGACGUCUGGAUCCACUCCUGGCUCUUUAAUACCUCCCCCAAGGAGCCGGCCUGCCUGCUUGCUUGCUCUCUGGAAGUGGGAACACAAAUCAAAGCGGGUAUCAUGACAAACAUUUCUUUUCUAAGAGUCCAUUCCAUAAAGUCCCCAAAAAAAUCAUCUCUCAGCUUUUACCGCCAUAUUUGGAGAGUGAAUGAUUGUGUCUCAGAAUUCAAGUGCAUUUUAACGAGCGAUAAACUGAUAUAGGGAAAAUAUUGGUGACGCAAUUUUUAACAAUACAAACUGCAACACUUUGUUUGAAUGCCUUUAAGCUUAUUUUUAUUAAACAGCUUUUCAGAUUUACAUCAUGUUAACAGACAGUAGACAUCUUUCUUUUAAAAUUGUAAUGAAAAGUGCAGUAAGUUCCCAGACUCAGCAGCAUUUCAUGUAAAGUUAAAUGAAAACUGAAACAAAUACUGUAGCUCCCUAAAGUUUUCGAACAGUAAAUAAAGUUUUACAAAAUUUCAAUAUAGCUGAAAGAAAAUUAUCUUUCACUUAUGUUUGUUUUAAGUUCAAACAACAACAAAAAGUGCAGGGAGUUUUUAGGUUCAGCAGCAUCUCUAAUAAAGUUAAAUUUUAAGUAAAAAAAAAAAUAUACCCAGUUUUAAAUUGAUCUCUUAUCGGCCGUCGGAUUUUAAAAAUGUUUGUUGGUAAUAUGUGUUAAAAUGCCAAAUAUCGGUGCCAAUAAUAGAAUGUAAUAAUUUAACCCAGCCGAUAAUCUGUCUACCCCGAAUUACGACACAGUGUGAAUGCUCACCUCUCAGCAUUUGCACGUUUUCGACGUAUCAGUUGUAAGGGUUGUCUCUCAGUAUUUACACACAUUUUUGGAGCGUAACCGAUCAUGUCUCAGCAUUCGAGUGCAUGCAUAUUUUUUAUUUUUUUUACAUUCACAUUAAUAUUGUUGCUCAGUUUUUCUCCACAUUGGGAC